RNAcentral lists this ribosomal RNA (406 nucleotides) under uncultured bacterium. RNAcentral describes it as "partial 16S ribosomal RNA". It matches the Rfam family "Bacterial small subunit ribosomal RNA", at positions 30 to 526 of the family's 1533-position model. The record is from RNAcentral.
AUUGAACGCUGGCGUCAGGCCUAACACAUGCAAGUCGACCGAGUGGCGGACGGGUGAGUAAUGUCUGGGAAACUGCCUGAUGGAGGGGGAUAACUACUGGACACGGUAGCUAAUACCGCAUACCAUCAGAUGUGCCCAGAUGUGAUUAGCUUGUUGGUGGGGUAAAGUCUCACCACGUCGACGAUCCCUAGCUGGUCUGAGAGGAUGACCAGACAAACGGAAACGAAGACACGGUCCAGACUCCUACGGGAGGCAGCAGUGGGGAAUAUUGCACAAUGGGCGCAAGCCUGAUGCAGCCAUGCCGCGGGUAUGAAGAAGUCCUUAGGGUUGUAAAGUACUUUCAGCGGGGAGGCGUUACCCGCAGAAGAAGCACCGGCUAACUCCGUGCCAGCAGCCGCGGUAAUUC